Molecule: ribosomal RNA, 253 nt
Filed under: uncultured bacterium
Lineage: Bacteria
Description: partial 16S ribosomal RNA
Rfam family: Bacterial small subunit ribosomal RNA
Source: RNAcentral
UACGGAGGAGGCAAGCGUUAUCCGGAAUUAUUGGGCGUAAAGCGUCCGCAGGUGGCACCUCAAGUCUGCUGUCAAAGACCGGAGCUUAACCCCAGAAAGGCAGUGGAAACUGAAGUGCUAGAGUGCAGUAGGGGUAGAGGGAAUUCCCGGUGUAGCGGUGAAAUGCGUAGAGAUCGGGAAGAACAUCGGUGGCGAAAGCGCUCUGCUGGACUGCAACUGACACUCAGGGACGAAAGCUAGGGGAGCGAAUGGG